CCCCAUAGAUCAUGGCAGCUAGCUGUGCGUGAAAAACUUCCCAAUUCCCCUUUUCUGCUUCAACUCUGGCUACUCUCAACAGGAACUUCAAUGGCAGACCUACAACCUCUCCACAGGGCUUCCAAUUCUCACCAACUUCCUCAACACUCAACCGGAGAGCUCUGGCAAUCAAUCUGAAGUCGACCUCCUUUGGGACGUCCAAGAAGGGAGUCUGAUGCUGAAUAGGGAUACUCAAUAGGAUAGAAUACUCUUCGAGAGUGGGUGCAAGCUGAUAAUCCUGGAAAGUGAAGCACCUGAGCUCUGGGUCAUAAAACUGAAGUAGUGUCUGCAGAGGCAC
This 337-nucleotide long non-coding RNA is filed under the name Lathyrus oleraceus (garden pea). RNAcentral describes it as "Pisum sativum (pea) long non-coding RNA (PSAT_LNC039029)". The record is from RNAcentral. Lineage: Eukaryota; Viridiplantae; Streptophyta; Magnoliopsida; Fabales; Fabaceae.